UGCAGUUGAGGAUGAAGAUUUGUAUCUUGCUGAUAUGAUAUAUGUGAUUAUUCAUACAUUAUCACCAUCUUUCGGCUGAGACUGCA
Molecule: small nucleolar RNA, 86 nt
Organism: Cryptomeria japonica (Japanese cedar)
Lineage: Eukaryota; Viridiplantae; Streptophyta; Pinopsida; Cupressales; Cupressaceae
Source: RefSeq, a predicted model, not a curated record